This 378-nucleotide unclassified non-coding RNA is filed under the name uncultured Solirubrobacterales bacterium. RNAcentral's name for it is "contains 16S-23S intergenic spacer region". The record is from RNAcentral. Lineage: Bacteria; Bacillati; Actinomycetota; Thermoleophilia; Solirubrobacterales.
UCCGAGUUGACCCCGGCAGUCUCCCAUGAGUCCCCACCAUAACGUGCUGGCAACAUGGAACGAGGGUUGCGCUCGUUGCGGGACUUAACCCAACAUCUCACGACACGAGCUGACGACAGCCAUGCACCACCUGUGACCCUGCCCCGAAGGGAAGACGUGUUUCCACACCGGUCACCAACAUGUCAAGCCCAGGUAAGGUUCUUCGCGUUGCGUCGAAUUAAACCACAUGCUCCGCUGCUUGUGCGGGUCCCCGUCAAUUCCUUUGAGUUUUAGCCUUGCGGCCGUACUCCCCAGGCGGGGCACUUAAUGCGUUAGCGUCGGCACGGGAGGAGUCGACACCUCCCACACCUAGUGCCCAUCGUUUACGGCGUGGACUAC